GAAAGCAGGGGAUCGCAAGACCUCGCGCUCAUGGAGCGGCCGAUGUCGGAUUAGCUAGUUGGCGGGGUAACGGCCCACCAAGGCGACGAUCCGUAGCUGGUUUGAGAGGAUGAUCAGCCACACUGGGACUGAGACACGGCCCAGACUCCUACGGGAGGCAGCAGUGGGGAAUUUUGGACAAUGGGGGCAACCCUGAUCCAGCCAUGCCGCGUGAGUGAAGAAGGCCUUCGGGUUGUAAAGCUCUUUCGGCCGGAACGAAAUCGGGCGCGUGAAUAACGCGCCUGGAUGACGGUACUGGAAGAAGAAGCACCGGCUAACUACGUGCCAGCAGCCGCGGUAAUACGUAGGGUGCGAGCGUUAAUCGGAAUUACUGGGCGUAAAGCGUGCGUAGGCGGUUUCGCAAGUCAGAUGUGAAAUCCCCGGGCUUAACCUGGGAACUGCGUUUGAAACUACAAGGC
This 458-nucleotide ribosomal RNA is filed under the name uncultured beta proteobacterium. RNAcentral's name for it is "bacterial SSU rRNA". It matches the Rfam family "Bacterial small subunit ribosomal RNA", at positions 202 to 641 of the family's 1533-position model. Lineage: Bacteria; Pseudomonadati; Pseudomonadota; Betaproteobacteria. The record is from RNAcentral.